AGGGGCAACAUUUGUAGCAAUACAAGAUGGCGACCGGCGCACGGGUGAGUAACGCGUAUGUAAUCUACCUUUAACCGGGGGAUAGCCCAUGGAAACGUGGAUUAAUACCCUAUAAUACUGAAUAAUGGCAUCAUUGAUCAGUUAAAACUUUGGUGGUUAUUGAUGGGCAUGCGUGCCAUUAGUUUGUUGGUGAGGUAACGGCUCACCAAGACGAUGAUGGCUAGGGGGUCUUAAAGGAUAAUCCCCCACACUGGUACUGAGACACGGACCAGACUCC
RNAcentral lists this ribosomal RNA (277 nucleotides) under uncultured bacterium. RNAcentral describes it as "partial 16S ribosomal RNA". It matches the Rfam family "Bacterial small subunit ribosomal RNA", at positions 65 to 339 of the family's 1533-position model. The record is from RNAcentral.